AGGAUCCCUCUAAGUCAUUUAUGACAUUAAUUACACCUGUGCUCCUCCUGCUGUGACAUGUCAAGCUGUCUCUGGUGGAAGAGAGGCUAUAGCAUGGACACUGAACCUGGGACUGGUGUUGGCAUGUGGCUGGACAUUGUUACACUGAUGUCCAUUAAGCACUGUCUGAGAAGCACACUAACACUGAACAAUUCGGAGGACUCAGUGAUGAUGGCAACAGGGAGAGACAUCCUAAUGAAACUAAUAAUGUGAUAACAAACUCCUCUGUAGUUUGAUGACUUAAUGAAGCUAAGGCUGGCGCUUGGUUUUGAACUGGGGCCAUUGGGAAUGUAACGCUUCAUGACAGCUUUGUCGAGGAUACCAUCUUUGCCUAACGUCAACAUUAUCUAUGUCAUGACCUAACCAAAGCCAUAACAACGAGGGCAGCUUUACAGGAAUCGAAACAGUCUAACCUGAUUCGGGACUCCAUUCUUCAGCCGUCACGAAGUUGUUGUCAUCAAACGCACCAUGAAGCCAGAAGACGGAGUUUACUGUCCACAGGUUGAGACCUUAGCGAUUUCCUGCUUCACUUCACCAAGCACAAAAAGCCAUUGUGUAGUUGUUGACAGACAUGAACAGGAGGCUACAUCCAGGAAAACACAAGAAGGAAGAGAUCUGAAUUUCAUCCCCUGUCACUUACAGUGAAAGUCCACAGGAAGGGAUCUUUUAAUAAAUGAUUAUAGCAAGCAAAACCUGUUUCACUGUUCAUACAGACAGCUGACUAUUGUACUGGGGUUGAAAAACUUGAAAAACUGUGAAUCUACUCUUUAACAAUUUUGUUGAACAUAAAAAAGUUUCAAAGCUUAGAUUUUUCCUAUAUCAUUAACUGGAUUAGACAAAAUCAUCUAGUUUAUUUGAUCAGGUGUAAUUUAA
Long non-coding RNA from Lates calcarifer (barramundi perch), 912 nucleotides. RefSeq lists it as uncharacterized. The record is from RefSeq and is a predicted model, not a curated record. NCBI's taxonomy places the organism in Eukaryota, Metazoa, Chordata, Actinopteri, Centropomidae. The transcript is spliced from 4 exons.